CCCUGACCUGAUCAGGUGGUCAGGUGUGGUGAAUAUAGACAAUCCCUGACCUGGUCAGGUGUGGUGAAUAUAGACAAUCCCUGACCUGAUCAGGUGGUCAGGUGUGGUGAAUAUAGACAAUCCCUGACCUGAUCAGGUGGUCAGGUGUGGUGAAUAUAGACAAUCCCUGACCUGAUCAGGUGGUCAGGUGUGGUGAAUAUAGACAAUCCCUGACCUGGUCAGGUGUGGUGAAUAUAGACAAUCCCUGACCUGGUCAGGUGUGAUGAAUAUAGACAAUCCCUGACCUGAUCAGGUGUGGUGAAUAUAGACAAUCCCUGACCUGAUCAGGUGGUCAGGUGUGGUGAAUAUAGACAAUCCCUGACCUGGUCAGGUGUGGUGAAUAUAGACAAUCCCUGACCUGGUCAGGUGUGGUGAAUAUAGACAAUCCCUGACCUGGUCAGGUGGUCAGGUGUGGUGAAUAUAGACAAUCCCUGACCUGAUCAGGUGGUCAGGUGUGGUGAAUAUAGACAAUCCC
Molecule: non-coding RNA, 514 nt
Organism: Oncorhynchus mykiss (rainbow trout)
Lineage: Eukaryota; Metazoa; Chordata; Actinopteri; Salmoniformes; Salmonidae
Source: RefSeq, a predicted model, not a curated record